CUUGGUCUCCUCAUCCCCUCAGUGAUGCGAUCAUCAUGGAGGAAGAAUAGGUACCUGCUAUCGAGUGAAGAGGACAACCGCACCACAAAAGCGCAGCUGCUACCUGCGGGAAUCUAUUGCGUCUUUGGCCGCCUACUCUCAUUCCCUUUUCUUGCCUGAAUACAUUGUGUCACUGGCCAUGAGUCAAUUCUAAAGAGUAGAAGAGGAACGAGGCAAAACCAUCCAAAUGAAACAUUUUUUUGAGGUUGGCAAAUACAGGCUCUUUCUGCAAGGGAUGUUUUCAUUUGUUUUUAGGGAUUAUCAGAACUUCUUUUAAUGAGGCCUUGCCUGUCAACUCACAUUGGCGAAGCCAAAAAUGUUGUUUGCUCUCACUCAUGUGGAGUGAAAUUUAGGCUAUAGCUCAAAUGGUCCUUGAAGUCCUCCAAGUGUACAUAUUUGCAUAAAGACUAUGGAUUAGAAGCAAUUGAUAAUCAUUUUACAUUUAAAAAGACUAACAAACCCAAUUAAGUUUACACCACAUUAUGUAGAUCACCCUUUUUAUGAGACAAGCUGCCCUUGUCAGUGUGAGUGGUGCUAAAAGGACAGCUAAGCCAAAUCAGUCAGGUCAGCCUGGCCUCAGAGCCAUACAAAUCAAAUUGUAUUUGUCAUGCGCCGAAUGCAAUAGGUGUAGGUAGACCUUACUGUGAAAUGAUUACUUUACAAGCCCUUAACCAAAAUGCAGUUCAAGAAAUUGAGUUAAGAAAAUAUUUACUAAAGAAACUAAAAGGGGAAAAAAAGGAACACAAGGAACAUACAUAACAAUAACGAGGCUUUAUACAGGGGGUACCGGUACCGAGUCAACGUGCAGAGGUACAGGUUAGUCAAGGUAAAUUGUCAAGUGACCAUGAAUAGAUAAUAAAACAGUGAGUAGCAGCAGUGUAAAAUUAAAUGUAAAUAGUCCUGGUGGCCAUUUAAUUAAUUGUUCAGCAGUUCUAGACUUGGUGUACCGGUAUCGCUUGCCAUGCGGUAGCAGAGAGAGCAGUCUAUGGCUUGGGUGACUGGAGUCUGACAAUUUUUUGGGCCUUCCUCUGACACCGCCUAGUAUAUACACUACCGUUCAAAAGUUUGGGGUCACUUAGAAAUGUCCUUGUUUUUGAAAGAAAAGCAAUUUUUUUUGUCCAUUAAAAUAACAUCAAAUUGAUCAGAAAUACAGUGUAGACAUUGUUAAUGUUGUAAAUUACUAUUGUAGGUGGAAAAGUCUGAUUAUUUAUGGAAUAUCUACAUGGGUGUACAGAGGCCCAUUAUCAUCAACCAUCACUCCUGUGUUCCAAUGGCACGUUGUGUUAGCUAAUCCAAGUUUAUAAUUUUAAAAGGCUAAUUGAUCAUUAGAAAACCCUUUUGCAAUUAUGUUAGCACAGCUGAGAACUGUUGUUCUGAUUAAAGAAGCAAUAAAAAUGUCCUCCUUUAGACUAGGUUGAGUAUCUGGAGCAUCAGCAUUUGUGGGUUCGAAUACAGGCUCAAAAUGGCCAGGAACAAAGACCUUCUGAAACUCAUCAAUCUAUUCUUGUUCUGAGAAACGAAGGCUAUUCCAUGCGAGAAAUUGCCAAGAAACUUAAGAUCUCAUACAACGCUGUGUACUACUCUACCAAAAUAGAAAGAGAAGUGGGAGGCCCCGGUGCACAACUGAGCAAGAGGAUAAGUACAUUAGAGUUUCUACUUUGAGAAACAGAUGCCUCAAGUCCUCAAAGGGCAGCUUAAUUAAAUAGUACCCGCAAAACACCAGUCUCAACGUCAACAGUGAAGAGGCAACUCCGGGAUGCUGGCUUUCUAGGCAGAGUUCCUCUGUCCAGUGUCUGUGUUCUUUUGCCCAUCUUAAUCUUUUUAUUGGCCAGUCUGAGAAAUGGCUUUUGAGAAAUGGCUUUUUCUUUGCAACUCUGCCUGACACAGUUGUGUUCUCACCUUUGGUCUAUUUAUUUCCCCAUAAUCUCCAAAGUGUUCUCUUUCAAUUGCUACCAUAGUCAUGCAUAUGCUUUUUAUAGUUCUUCUGUUUGAAACAUUUACAUUUGGCCCUGUACAUAUAGGCACAUUUCCACGAAUGUAAGGGGUUAACCAAAUUCACCUAACCUGCUAUGUAAAUUCUCCUAACCUUUGUUGUUAGUUCUCCUAACUACCAAUGUAAAUUCUCCCCAUAAUUGUCCUUUGUUGUUACAACGCAACCUGGUCUCAGAUAAAUUAAAUCAUCCAAUUUGUAUUAUAUUGUAUGGCCGGGUAAGAAGUAUGAUACUACACAUCCUCUAACUCGUGUGAUAUUGUAUGACUGCUAUUCCAUUAACAAUGUAACCUAACGUAAUAUCACAAAAAAUGGAGGGAUCAAAUUUACAUACCAAAUCCUACAAAUUGCCCUGAGACCAGGUUGGCCAGGUAUAGGAGAAUAGACAUACUGUAUCUUUACUUUUAGUGAAGUAUUUAGUCAGCCACCAAUUGUGCAAGUUCUCCCACUUAAAAAGAUGAGAGAGGCCUGUAAUUUUCAUCAUAGGUACACUUCAACUAUGACAGACAAAACGAGAAAAAAAAAUCUAGAAAAUCACAUUGUAGGAUUUAUGAAGAAUUUAUUUGCAAAGUAUAGUGGAAAAUAAGUAUUUGGUCAAUAACAAAAGUUUCUCAAUACUUUGUUUAUAUACCCUUUGUUGGCAAUGACAGAGGUCAAAUGUUUUCUGUAAGUCUUCACAAGGUUUUCAAACACUGUUGCUGGUAUUUUGGCCCAUUCCUCCAUGCAGAUCUCCUCUAGAGCAGUGAUGUUUUGGGGCUGUUGCUGGGCAACACGGACUUUCAACUCCCUCCAAAGAUUUUCUAUGGGCUUGAGAUCUGGAGACUGGCUAGGCCACUCCAGGACCUUGAAAUGCUUCUUACGAAGCCACUCCUUUGUUGCCCGGGCGGUGUGUUUGGGAUCAUUGUCAUGCUGAAAGACCCAGCCACGUUUCAUCUUCCAUGCCCUUGCUGAUGGAGGUUUUCACUCAAAAUCUCACGAUACAUGGCCCCAUUCAUUCUUUCCUUUACACGGAUCAGUCGUCCUGGUCCCUUUGCAGAAAAACAGCCCCAAAGCAUGAUGUUUCCACCCCCAUGCUUCACAGUAGGUAUGGUGUUCUUUGGAUGCAACUCAGCAUUCUUUGUCCUCCAAACACGACGAGUUGAGUUACCAAAAAGUUAUAUUUUGGUUUCAUCUGACCAUAUGACAUUCUCCCAAUCUUCUGGAUCAUCCAAAUGCUCUCUAGCAAACUUCAGACGGGCCUGGACAUGUACUGGCUUAAGCAGGGGGACACGUCUGGCACUGCAGGAUUUGAGUCCCUGGCGGCGUAGUGGGUUACUGAUGGUAGGCUUUGUUACUUUGGUCCCAGCUCUCUGCAGGUCAUUCACUAGGUCCCCCCAUGUAGUUCUGGGAUUUUUCCUCUCUUUUGAUCAUUUUUACCCCACGGGGUGAGAUCUUGCGUGGAGACCCAGAUCGAGGGAGAUUAUCAGUUGUCUUGUAUGUUUUCCAUUUCCUAAUAAUUGCUCCCACAGUUGAUUUCUUCAAACCAAGCUGCUUACCUAUUGCAGAUCCAGUCUUCCCAGCCUGGUGCAGGUCUACAAUUUUGUUUCUGGUGUCCUUUGACAGCUCUUUGGUCUUGCCCAUAGUGGAGUUUGGAGUGUGACUGUUUGAGGUUGUGGACAGGUCUUUUUUAUACUGAUAACAAGUUCAAACAGGUGCCAUUAAUACAGGUAACAAGUGGAGGACAGGUCUGUGAGAACCAGAAAUCUUGCUUGUUUGUAGGUGACCAAAUACUUAUUUUCCACCAUAAUUUGCAAAUAAAUUCAUUAAAAAAUCCUACAAUGUGAUUUUCUGGAUUUUUUUCCCCUCAUUUUGUCUGUCAUAGUUGAAGUACCUAUGAUGAAAAUUACAGGCCUCAUCUUUUUAAGUGGGAGAACUUGCACAAUUGGUGGCUGACUAAAUACUUUUUUGCCCCACUGUAUGUGAACGCUUUCAGUGAAGAGGGACUGUUAAUUACCAUAGAGCGAGCAGUGUUGAGUGACUGACAAGAAAGACUUACUCAUACAUAUGAACCUACACCGAUGCCUCUACUAUACUGAAUUCACAUUUUGCUGUGUUGUAUCUUUUUCACUGUGACUAAUUCAUAUUACAGUGACUGAAAUAUUACUCCAGGUGCACAUGUUUUGUACUUCUGGUGAGCCAGGUAAAGACCACUGAUGUCUAAUGGUUAUUUAAAAGGGACAUAUUACACAUUCAUGAAAGCUUGUCAGAUGUUUUAAGACAUAAACUACGUCGUGGGAUGGAGUUUCACCUUGACGCCAGACUACUUUUGAAGUCUGAAAACAUCUGCCAAACUUUGAUUUUGAAGUGUAAUACCCCUCUAAGAUGUUUUUGAUUCAGAUAGUUCACUGCAUGUUAUUGUCAGCAAGGGAUUUCAGUGAACAUCAAAUGUAAUUAGCAUAGGCCUUCUUUAAAAAAAGUCUUGUCUGGUUUAAAUGCCACGCUUGCACAGUUCCUUUCUUUGGAAUAGUAUUUCAUGAACAGGUGUGUAACCAUUUAAAUGAAUGUCAAUGCUUUCCAAAGUUUUGCAGCA
This is a long non-coding RNA of Oncorhynchus tshawytscha (Chinook salmon), 4598 nucleotides long. The record is from Ensembl. Lineage: Eukaryota; Metazoa; Chordata; Actinopteri; Salmoniformes; Salmonidae.